GGGAAUAUUGGACAAUGGGGGAAACCCUGAUCCAGCAAUGCCGCGUGUGUGAAGAAGGUCUUCGGAUUGUAAAGCACUUUCGACGGGGACGAUGAUGACGGUACCCGUAGAAGAAGCCCCGGCUAACUUCGUGCCAGCAGCCGCGGUAAUACGAAGGGGGCUAGCGUUGCUCGGAAUGACUGGGCGUAAAGGGCGCGUAGGCGGAUUGAUCAGUCAGAUGUGAAAUUCCUGGGCUUAACCUGGGGGCUGCAUUUGAGACGGUUGAUCUAGAGUGUGAAAGAGGGUCGUGGAAUUCCCAGUGUAGAGGUGAAAUUCGUAGAUAUUGGGAAGAACACCGGUGGCGAAGGCGGCGACCUGGUUCAUUACUGACGCUGAGGCGCGAAAGCGUGGGGAGCAAACA
This 400-nucleotide ribosomal RNA is filed under the name uncultured bacterium. RNAcentral's name for it is "bacterial SSU rRNA". It matches the Rfam family "Bacterial small subunit ribosomal RNA", at positions 357 to 774 of the family's 1533-position model. The record is from RNAcentral.